RNAcentral lists this unclassified non-coding RNA (240 nucleotides) under soil metagenome. RNAcentral's name for it is "partial contains 5.8S ribosomal RNA, internal transcribed spacer 2, and large subunit ribosomal RNA". The record is from RNAcentral.
AAGACUAUAGACCUGCGGAGUACCUGCGGAGGGAUCAUUACCGAGUUUUCAACUCCCUAACCCUUCUGUGAACCUACCUAUCGUUGCUUCGGCGGACUCGCCCCAGCCCGGACGCGGACUGGACCAGCGGCCCGCCGGGGACCUCAAACUCUUGUAUUCCAGCAUCUUCUGAAUACGCCGCAAGGCAAAACAAAUGAAUCAAAACUUUCAACAAUGGAUCUCUAGAUCGGAAGAGCACAC